CCUACGGGGGGCAGCAGUGGGGAAUAUUGCGCAAUGGGCGAAAGCCUGACGCCGCGACGCCGCGUGAGGGAUGAAGGUCUUCGGAUCGUAAACCUCUGUCAGCAGGGAAGAACGGUCACUUUGCUAAUCAGCAGUGAAUUGACGGUACCUGCAAAGGAAGCACCAACUAACUCCGUGCCAGCAGCCGCGGUAAUACGGAGGGUGCGAUCGUUAAUCGGAAUUACUGGGCCUAUAGCGCUCGUAGGCGGUAUGUCAAGUCAAGGGUGAAAUCCCGGCGCUCAACGUGGGAACUGCAUUUGAAACUGGGCAGCUGGAGGGUGUGAGAGGAUAGUGGAAUUCCAGGUGUAGGAGUGAAAUCCGUAGAGAUCUGGAGGAACAUCAGUGGCGAAGGCGACUAUCUGGCACAUAACUGACGCUGAGGAGCGAAAGCGUGGGUAGCAAACAGGAUUAGAUACCCGUGUAGUC
RNAcentral lists this ribosomal RNA (465 nucleotides) under uncultured bacterium. Its description in RNAcentral is "partial 16S ribosomal RNA". It matches the Rfam family "Bacterial small subunit ribosomal RNA", at positions 338 to 795 of the family's 1533-position model. The record is from RNAcentral.